CUUCUAUUCUGUUUGUGGAUGCAACACUAGGAAUCUGCCACUUGGAACCACAGCUUAUCUGACAGCAGGCUCGCUAUUGGUUUCUGCCAAAGGGGGGGGGGUGCCACGAAAACUGCAAGGUCUUAAACGCCUGUGUAACAGAUGACCCCUUUUCAACUCCCUGUUUAAAUAACUGGUGCGGUGGUGUCCCUCCAACCAUGCUCUCACCACGGUCCUGAAUGGAACAGAAGCCGAGCGGCCUGACUAAAUUCUCUCAACUCUGGAUGCGGAUCCCAACUGGAACCCAGAUCUUGAUUUUCUGCUCACUCCGUCCCUCACAUCUCCUGACCAGCAUGAUGAAAGAGGAUACAGUGAUCCAGUGGUGUUUAAAGAUCAUGGGAAGUGUGCUACCCUUCGCCACCACGGGGUGCUGAGCUGCAUAGACACACCCGGCGCUUCGAACUGUACCUGACAUCGGGUACAGUUACCAGCAGGAAGCAGAGCAGCAUCCGUCCAGAGCACAGUUCUCAGCCACCGUCAUCUGUUGGAACCUCAUUUCUACCCCCUAUUCAUUGUGGGAGUUUACCUAUAUGAACUUUAUCUACUGAGCCUCAGUCCCCUAUACCAUACCAUAAGACAUCUUGCAGGGCAGAGGACUAAACGUGAUAAAGCACACAAAAUGUUAUUGUAGUGCCUAACAUAAAACGCCCAGACAAGGUCUUUGCUACUGUUAUUCAUCUUUCUAAAUGGAAUGAGCCAGAAGUCUUCUGACAUCUCUGGGACGUGUGCGUGGCAGGUGAGUUUGGGGAAAGACCACCUCAAAUGGCCUCUGUGGAAAGGAAAUGGGUCUGGGUUUUCAAGGCGUUCUGAACAGCAAUGGCUUACACUCUCAGAGAGCGCACAAGAGCUUCCAGUCAGCCCGAGGGAAGAAGAGCUUCGAAUGGUCACCCAGUGCCACUCGUGGACUUGCUGCCUCGGAGCCGAGUCAAGUCAUACUUAGAGUCAGCUUGCAAGAAGGACUUCCAAUCAUGUGCAGUAUAAUACUGUGCAGUUUAAAUCUUGAAGUCAAAAAGAUCUGAACCCACGAGGAGAGGGGGCGGGGCAGAUGACAGGUAAUCUAUGAUCCUGCGUGCCAAUGGUUAUUAUUUUCAAAUUCCAAAUAAAUCUUGUUUCCCAGCAAGCAUGGCAAAGAGGGAAAU
RNAcentral lists this long non-coding RNA (1178 nucleotides) under Mus pahari (shrew mouse). RNAcentral's name for it is "RIKEN cDNA D730045A05 gene (MGP_PahariEiJ_G0004727.1)". Lineage: Eukaryota; Metazoa; Chordata; Mammalia; Rodentia; Muridae. The record is from RNAcentral.